RNAcentral lists this ribosomal RNA (406 nucleotides) under uncultured bacterium. Its description in RNAcentral is "partial 16S ribosomal RNA". It matches the Rfam family "Bacterial small subunit ribosomal RNA", at positions 28 to 526 of the family's 1533-position model. The record is from RNAcentral.
GAUGAACGCUGACAGAAUGCUUAACACAUCAGCAAUUGAUUGGUGGCGGUCGGGUGAGUAACGCGUAAAGCACUUGCCUCACAGGUAGGUACCAGAUUUGGAAACGAAUGCUUAUCCCUUAUACUGUGACAGAGCUUUGCGUCCCAUUUUCUCGUUGGAGAGGUAACGGCUCACCAAGGUGAUGAUGGGUAUCCGGCCUGAGAGGGUGAUAGGACACAAGGGAACGUGGAACCGGCCCUUACGGAUACGGGAGGCAGAAGUGGGGAAUAGUGGAAAAUGGACCAAAGUCUGAUCAAGCAAUUCUGGGGGCACGAUGAAGUUUUCGGAAUGAAAAGUGCUUUCAGUGGGGAAGCGGUACCAACAGAAGAAGUGACGGCUAAAUACGUGCCAGCAGCCGCGGUAAUAC